Molecule: long non-coding RNA, 333 nt
Filed under: Daucus carota (carrot)
Lineage: Eukaryota; Viridiplantae; Streptophyta; Magnoliopsida; Apiales; Apiaceae
Description: long non-coding RNA (DCAR_LNC004871)
Source: RNAcentral
CACUACUUGUUCUGAGGUAUGUCCCAAUGCUUUCCCUUUUUUAUGUUCAAUUGCACUAAAGUGAAAAAAACUUUAUGCCUAAAUAUUUCUUUACAGAAAAAGAAAAAACCGCAAAGUGAGGUGCAGAGAGUGCAUGCGCUUUUUAAUUCGGUGAAGCCGAAGGAGGAUGUGCCUCCUCGCUUUAGGGUGUUGUACAAAUUUGCAAAAACAGUGAUGAAAGAAAGUGGAAACUCGAUACCAGUUCCAUGUGAUGUUGAUAUCUUUGGAAUCGAAAGAACUAUUUAUCUACUGGACAAGAGUGUACUUUCACUAUUAGAGUUUAAAAUGAUUGGG